This is a non-coding RNA of Sturnus vulgaris (Common starling), 83 nucleotides long. The record is from RefSeq and is a predicted model, not a curated record. Lineage: Eukaryota; Metazoa; Chordata; Aves; Passeriformes; Sturnidae.
CGUGACACCCUGAACUGUAAGAGCCUGACGGAGAGAUGGAGGCUUCAGCAGCUCUUACAAUGCUGUUUAUUGCACAGACGAGG